This 553-nucleotide long non-coding RNA is filed under the name Homo sapiens (human). RNAcentral describes it as "HSALNT0037034". Lineage: Eukaryota; Metazoa; Chordata; Mammalia; Primates; Hominidae. The record is from RNAcentral.
CAGGGUGGAGCCACGAGAAGUUUGCACAAUUUGCAGUGGGGAGGAGCCUGGCCUCUCCUGUUCCUGGUUGGGGACCUGGGAUUCAGUCUGUGAGGUGCAGAGCCUGUUAGCAGGACUCCAUCUCACUUUGCUGAAUUGUUUUUCCUUUUUCCUUUUUGCCCAAUAAAUUCUGCUCCUCACCCUUCUAGGUGUCCGCGAGCCUGAUCUUUCUCGGUUGUGUGACAAGAACCUGACUUUUCCUGCAGCACAAGGGUGCUCCAAGCCUGAACAUUGAGCACGACCCAGGUCAUAUGCACAACACGACAGGUUGAGCGUCCAUGUGUGGCUACUGGGUUUGCUGGGGACACCUCUUGCCUGCCAGGGUGAGCACACGCAGCAGUGAGCAGCCCCGUGUGACCCCACGGGAUGAGGAUGCCAUGAUGUCAGCAUCCCUUCUGACUUGGAGGUAUGUGACAUUCAUGGUGCCAAUGCCACUGUCACCUUGCAGAUCAGUCUGGGUUUGCUUCAGACAGAAGAUCCUGGAAUAUGUUCAAGCAUUACUCAUCUCCAGACU